RNAcentral lists this non-coding RNA (24 nucleotides) under Arabidopsis thaliana (thale cress). Lineage: Eukaryota; Viridiplantae; Streptophyta; Magnoliopsida; Brassicales; Brassicaceae. The record is from RNAcentral.
ACAUGACUCAAGGCAUGUGGAUGC